UUAUUAGCAAAUAACAAAAUAAACAAAAUAUCUCAAAAAAUGUCUAUAAUGAUGGACUGAAAAUACAAGAAAUUCGCAUGUUCUCUUUAUUAUGUUUUCGUAUAUAU
RNAcentral lists this microRNA precursor (107 nucleotides) under Oryza sativa Indica Group (long-grained rice). Its description in RNAcentral is "mir-172 microRNA precursor". Lineage: Eukaryota; Viridiplantae; Streptophyta; Magnoliopsida; Poales; Poaceae. The record is from RNAcentral.